GUUAUGGUUUUAGAUCUGUCUUAGGGAAUUCAUUAGAUAGUGUGAAGUGAUAGCCAUGUCUGUGAAUAAUAACAAUAAUAGUACUACUACUAAUAAUAACAACAAUAGUAAUAGUAAUCCGCCCAAGAGCCUUGGGCAACCUACGGGGAUGCUCAGUCAAUCGUUGCCCAUGAACCCAGCAUUCUCACAGUCACAAUCUCAGGUGCAAAUUGGCACCGGCUUUCAGGGUCAGUUCCAGCUGUCCCAAGCACAGGUCACUGCUCAGGCACAGUUGAAAGCGCAACAGGCUCAUGUGCAAGCACAGGCCCAAGCAGCUCAUGCUGCUCAAGUUCAAGCAGCGCAUGCACAGUUCCAAGCUCAGUUGCAGGCUCAGGGAAUAUCUCUUAGCCAAGCCCAAAAUGCCGCCUUGGGAAACUUGGGUUCAUCCUCACCUUCAUUUUCAACUCCUGGUAGCAUGAAUUUGAAGCGUCUACCUCAAAAACCCCCAGUUCGGCCUCCUGGUGUUCCCAUGCCAAGCAUGAUUUCCCCAUUGAGAACUAUGGAUCUCACCCCUGCAGCUCGCAGGAAGAAGCAGAAGCUU
This 580-nucleotide unclassified non-coding RNA is filed under the name Hevea brasiliensis (rubber tree). Lineage: Eukaryota; Viridiplantae; Streptophyta; Magnoliopsida; Malpighiales; Euphorbiaceae. The record is from RNAcentral.